AUUGAACGCUGGCGGCAGGCCUAACACAUGCAAGUCGAGCGAGCGGCGGACGGGUGAGUAAUGUAUGGGGACUGCCCGAUAGAGGGGGAUAACUAAUGGAAACGGUAGCUAAUACCGCAUACUAUCGGAUAACCCAUAUGGGAUUAGCUAGUAGGUGAGGUAAUGGCUCACCUAGGCGACGAUCCCUAGCUGGUCUGAGAGGAUGAUCAGCCACACUGGGACUGAGACACGGCCCAGAAUCCUCCGGAGUCAGCAUUGGGGAAUAUUGCACAAUGGGCGCAAGCCUGAUUCAGCCAUGCCGCGUGGAUGAAGAAGGCCCUAGGGUUGUAAAGUACUUUCAGUCGAGCGGCGUUACCGACAGAAGAAGCACCGGCUAACUCCGUGCCAGCAGCCGCGGUAAUAC
RNAcentral lists this ribosomal RNA (403 nucleotides) under uncultured bacterium. RNAcentral describes it as "partial 16S ribosomal RNA". It matches the Rfam family "Bacterial small subunit ribosomal RNA", at positions 30 to 526 of the family's 1533-position model. The record is from RNAcentral.